This 1337-nucleotide ribosomal RNA is filed under the name Limosilactobacillus fermentum. Its description in RNAcentral is "bacterial SSU rRNA". It matches the Rfam family "Bacterial small subunit ribosomal RNA", at positions 29 to 1323 of the family's 1533-position model. The record is from RNAcentral. Lineage: Bacteria; Bacillati; Bacillota; Bacilli; Lactobacillales; Lactobacillaceae.
AUGAACGCCGGCGGUGUGCCUAAUACAUGCAAGUCGAACGCGUUGGCCCAAUUGAUUGAUGGUGCUUGCACCUGAUUGAUUUUGGUCGCCAACGAGUGGCGGACGGGUGAGUAACACGUAGGUAACCUGCCCAGAAGCGGGGGACAACAUUUGGAAACAGAUGCUAAUACCGCAUAACAGCGUUGUUCGCAUGAACAACGCUUAAAAGAUGGCUUCUCGCUAUCACUUCUGGAUGGACCUGCGGUGCAUUAGCUUGUUGGUGGGGUAACGGCCUACCAAGGCGAUGAUGCAUAGCCGAGUUGAGAGACUGAUCGGCCACAAUGGGACUGAGACACGGCCCAUACUCCUACGGGAGGCAGCAGUAGGGAAUCUUCCACAAUGGGCGCAAGCCUGAUGGAGCAACACCGCGUGAGUGAAGAAGGGUUUCGGCUCGUAAAGCUCUGUUGUUAAAGAAGAACACGUAUGAGAGUAACUGUUCAUACGUUGACGGUAUUUAACCAGAAAGUCACGGCUAACUACGUGCCAGCAGCCGCGGUAAUACGUAGGUGGCAAGCGUUAUCCGGAUUUAUUGGGCGUAAAGAGAGUGCAGGCGGUUUUCUAAGUCUGAUGUGAAAGCCUUCGGCUUAACCGGAGAAGUGCAUCGGAAACUGGAUAACUUGAGUGCAGAAGAGGGUAGUGGAACUCCAUGUGUAGCGGUGGAAUGCGUAGAUAUAUGGAAGAACACCAGUGGCGAAGGCGGCUACCUGGUCUGCAACUGACGCUGAGACUCGAAAGCAUGGGUAGCGAACAGGAUUAGAUACCCUGGUAGUCCAUGCCGUAAACGAUGAGUGCUAGGUGUUGGAGGGUUUCCGCCCUUCAGUGCCGGAGCUAACGCAUUAAGCACUCCGCCUGGGGAGUACGACCGCAAGGUUGAAACUCAAAGGAAUUGACGGGGGCCCGCACAAGCGGUGGAGCAUGUGGUUUAAUUCGAAGCUACGCGAAGAACCUUACCAGGUCUUGACAUCUUGCGCCAACCCUAGAGAUAGGGCGUUUCCUUCGGGAACGCAAUGACAGGUGGUGCAUGGUCGUCGUCAGCUCGUGUCGUGAGAUGUUGGGUUAAGUCCCGCAACGAGCGCAACCCUUGUUACUAGUUGCCAGCAUUAAGUUGGGCACUCUAGUGAGACUGCCGGUGACAAACCGGAGGAAGGUGGGGACGACGUCAGAUCAUCAUGCCCCUUAUGACCUGGGCUACACACGUGCUACAAUGGACGGUACAACGAGUCGCGAACUCGCGAGGGCAAGCAAAUCUCUUAAAACCGUUCUCAGUUCGGACUGCAGGCUGCAACUCGCCUGCACGA